Molecule: unclassified non-coding RNA, 264 nt
Filed under: Hevea brasiliensis (rubber tree)
Lineage: Eukaryota; Viridiplantae; Streptophyta; Magnoliopsida; Malpighiales; Euphorbiaceae
Source: RNAcentral
GGAGCAGUCACCAACACCAUUCCAGAGUUAUCAGAGUUCUGCAAAUGAAGAACUCCUUCCUCAGUCUUGUCAUUCACACAAGGAACCUGAUCAUUAGCCAUUGUUGGAUGAAUUUUCAGAGAAGAUCUUUGAAUGAGAUCAAAAUAGGAUUGAAAGCCAAAUCUCCAGCAAAGAAUCGAAGAGUAACUGAACCAAAUCUAGAAAUGGAACUCUGGAUCUAGUUGAAGAACAAAGAGAGAGAACAGUUACCACAGCACAGGUGGC